RNAcentral lists this long non-coding RNA (255 nucleotides) under Vicia faba (fava bean). Lineage: Eukaryota; Viridiplantae; Streptophyta; Magnoliopsida; Fabales; Fabaceae. The record is from RNAcentral.
AUGUGGAUGUCGGAAUAUCUAUUGUUUGUGAUAUGUGGAUACGGUUCUGCACAUGGACGGUGUUUUGAAUACUUAAUGGCCGGGUAUAUAGUUUUUGCGCUUGAGAAACUAUGUUCAAGGAAAACUUUGAGUGGUUCAUCUGCUAGGCUUGGAAAAGAAAAAAAAGCAAAAUUGCAUGACAUUGAAAUUGUGUACGACAUGGCUCACUUGGACAUGGAGCUUGCAGGGUUUACUUUGUUUUCCUCUCGUGGAUGA